GCAGAAGAAAAGCGAGGGUAGCUGAGCUAGAUUUGGGGUAGGGAGAAGUUGGAUCUCAAUCAUGGUGAGGCAUGGCCAACUACGUCACGUUGCUCCAUCGACUGUUCUUAGAAACCCGCCAUCCCUCUUCUCCCAUUCCUCACCUUCCUUCGCGGCAUUGCCGGCGGCUGCGGCCCGACGAUUCCGAUUCGGGCAGCGGCAGCAGCAGGAGGAACGGUGGCUCCGGCGGGCUCCGUGGCGGCCUCUGUAGCAGUCCCAACCCUGCGGACGAUCUCAAGUGCCUCUUGCUUCCCAGCGUCUAGAGCUUUCUGCGCAGGCGCCGCGGGCUGAAGCGCUCUUUCCUUCACUUCCGGCUGGGGCUCGCAUCACGUGACGUUAUGGGCCAGAGAGGGUGCUGGGAGGUUCUUUCCUUUGGGUGAAGCUAAUGAGCGCCAUUUUGGAAUUGGGCAGGAAGUGACACAAAUAAUAGAACCUUGGGCCGACCAUUUUUAGUUUGAUCUGGAUGAAGAGGCCCACACAUGGAAUCCUACCACUUGGGAGGCUGAGGCAGGAGGACUGCUGUGAGCUCCAGGCCAGUUUGGGCUACGUAGUUGAAGGCCAGCCUGGAAUACAUAGUGAGACCCUGUCAGCCAGGUAUGGUGGUGGAUGCCUGAAAUCCCAGCUAUUCUGGAGCCCUAGGGAGGAAAAUUCCAAAUUUGAGGCCAGCCUGGGUGAUUUAGCAAGAUCUUGUCUCAAAACAAAAAGGGAUGCAGCUGUAACUCAGUAUAAAGGCCCUGGGGUCACUUCUCAGUACCCAAAAAUAAAUAAGAAAAGGUCUGGAGAUGUAGCUCAGCGUGAAGCCCCUGGGUUCAAUUCCUAGUACUGCAGAGGGAGGGGAAGAAUUUGGUUUUGCUUAGAUAUGGUUCUUAUCCUUGGCAUGUGCACAUUCUGUUGGAAAGAUGAAGAAAACUAAUUCCAGUAGGAUAGAAAUAUGAUCUUAAGGAGAAAAAUGUGUUCUUGAGAGGACAGUAGACCAGCUAGGUAUAUUUAGAAUAAGGAAGAAAAGUCUUAAAAGCUCUCUGUUUUUCUUUUUAACCAACUAUAAUCUUUACUUGGAGAGUCAUUUUCAUCACAACACAAUUACAAGCAGGAACUGUUGGCUUCAAAGUCUUUCCCCAGUGACCUCUGCCCAUUCUCAUCUCCCAGACCCAACAUGGGCACAAUCCAAAGUUCUCCCCACAUUUGCACUUCCUCACGGGCUCUUCUUCUUACUUGAAUGUAUUUCCCAAUCCUCUUUAGAAAGAUCUUUCUUCAGAGCCAGACGUAAUGGGCCACACUUGUCAUCCCAGCAUUCACAGACAAGAGGUUCACAGGUUUCAGGAC
This 1362-nucleotide long non-coding RNA is filed under the name Heterocephalus glaber (naked mole-rat). Its description in RNAcentral is "lncRNA (ENSHGLG00100044265.1)". The record is from RNAcentral. Lineage: Eukaryota; Metazoa; Chordata; Mammalia; Rodentia; Bathyergidae.